RNAcentral lists this ribosomal RNA (459 nucleotides) under uncultured bacterium. RNAcentral describes it as "bacterial SSU rRNA". It matches the Rfam family "Bacterial small subunit ribosomal RNA", at positions 28 to 507 of the family's 1533-position model. The record is from RNAcentral.
GACGAACGCUGGCGGCGUGCUUCAUACAUGCAAGUCGAACGAGAAGUUACCUUCGGGUGAUGGAAAGUGGCGGACGGGUGAGUAAUAUGUAGGAAAUCUGCCCUUAAGAGGGGGACAACAGAGGGAAACUUCUGCUAAUACCCCAUAUGAGCGUAGCUGAAAUGCUAUUCUUGAAAACUCCGGUGCUUAAGGAUGAGCCUGCAUCUGAUUAGCUAGUUGGGGGUGUAAUGGACCACCAAGGCGACGAUCAGUAGCUGGUUUGAGAGGAUGAUCAGCCACAAUGGGACUGAGACACGGCCCAUACUCCUACGGGAGGCAGCAGUCGGGAAUAUUGCGCAAUGGAGGAAAACUCUGACGCAGUGACGCCGCGUAUAGGAAGAAGGUUUUCGGAUUGUAAACUAUUGUCUGCAGGGAAGAAACAAGACUGUACCUGCAAAGAAAGCUCCGGCUAACUACGUG